RNAcentral lists this long non-coding RNA (247 nucleotides) under Fukomys damarensis (Damara mole-rat). Its description in RNAcentral is "lncRNA (ENSFDAG00000023994.1)". The record is from RNAcentral. Lineage: Eukaryota; Metazoa; Chordata; Mammalia; Rodentia; Bathyergidae.
UGAUGCGGCUGGCUGGCGGGAGCCUGUUGUGCUUCCCCCACAGUGGUAUAAGCGACGGCUCUCUGUGCUGCUCAACCAUGCUAGGCCUUUGGCGGGAAUCAGAUGGUUGGCAUCAGGCUGGGGUUGCUUUGAGCACACGGCAACAUCAGUGGAACCUCAAUAGUCCACAGCAGGCAACCCUGGAUGAUCUGAGGCUCAUGAUGCGGCUGGCUGGUGGGAGCCUGUUGUGCUUCUCCACAGUGGUAUG